This 467-nucleotide ribosomal RNA is filed under the name uncultured bacterium. RNAcentral's name for it is "partial 16S ribosomal RNA". It matches the Rfam family "Bacterial small subunit ribosomal RNA", at positions 28 to 506 of the family's 1533-position model. The record is from RNAcentral.
GACGAACGCUGGCGGCGUGCUUAACACAUGCAAGUCGAACGGAAAGGCCCUGCUUUUGUGGGGUGCUCGAGUGGCGAACGGGUGAGUAACACGUGAGUAACCUGCCCUUGACUUUGGGAUAACUUCAGGAAACUGGGGCUAAUACCGGAUAGGAGCUCCUGCUGCAUGGUGGGGGUUGGAAAGUUUCGGCGGUUGGGGAUGGAUUCGCGGCUUAUCAGCUUGUUGGUGGGGUAGUGGCUUACCCAGGCUUUGACGGGUAGCCGGCCUGGGAGGGUGACCGGCCACAUUGGGACUGCGGUACGGCCCAGACUCCUACGGGAGGCAGCAGUGGGGAAUAUUGCACAGUGGGCGGAAGCCUGAUGCAGCAACGCCGCGUGCGGGAUGACGGCCUUCGGGUUGUAAACCGCUUUCGCCUGUGACGAAGCGUGAGUGACGGUAAUGGGUAAAGAAGCACCGGCUAACUACGU